This 366-nucleotide ribosomal RNA is filed under the name uncultured organism. RNAcentral's name for it is "bacterial SSU rRNA". It matches the Rfam family "Bacterial small subunit ribosomal RNA", at positions 526 to 896 of the family's 1533-position model. The record is from RNAcentral.
CGGAGGAUCCAAGCGUUAUCCGGAAUCAUUGGGUUUAAAGGGCCCGUAGGCGGGUUUAUAAGUCAGUGGUGAAAGCCCAUCGCUCAACGAUGGAACGGCCAUUGAUACUGUAGAUCUUGAAUUAUUAGGGAGUAACUAGAAUAUGUAGUGUAGCGGUGAAAUGCUUAGAGAUUACAUGGAAUACCAAUUGCGAAGGCAGGUUACUACUAAUGGAUUGACGCUGAUGGACGAAAGCGUGGGUAGCGAACAGGAUUAGAUACCCUGGUAGUCCACGCCGUAAACGAUGGAUACUAGCUGUUCGGAGCAAUCUGAGUGGCUAAGCGAAAGUGAUAAGUAUCCCACCUGGGGAGUACGUUCGCAAGAAUG